Molecule: long non-coding RNA, 1082 nt
Organism: Lolium rigidum
Lineage: Eukaryota; Viridiplantae; Streptophyta; Magnoliopsida; Poales; Poaceae
Exons: 3
Source: RefSeq, a predicted model, not a curated record
GCUCUUUUUCUUGGAAGAAAAAUGAUAAGUUUGACGUAGAGUCAACAACUCUGAAAGUGGAGGAAUCGCACUGUUGCAUGCACCGGAUUGCAAUAGCUCCAUCGCUACUGUUUUUUUCAGGCCUUUUGUCUUGUUUCGUGAGAUGUAUUUUACCUGGUAGAUUAAAUAGGUCAACAAUUUAUGAUAAGUUACAAUGGUUCUGGCUGAAGUAAAAGGGUCAGAAAUAUACAGGUUCCAUUGGAUUCGUGAAUUAACUUCGAAGUUUAGUGGAUGUCAAGAUGUGUUAAACUGACUAUUCUUUUUGUGUAUAGAGAUGGUAUAGUCCAGGUGUGUGUCCAGAUCUUAUUCAGCAAUUCCAUAUGCUUAGUACAACUUCAUGCCAUGGUUUCUUUAAGAUAUCUUGCAGGCAAGAUGUUUUUUUUUGAAAAAACGACAGUAACCAUUAAGAUGUCUUGCUGUGUUCAGUUCAGAAUUUGUUUCCUUUAGACACCAGAAGUACCCCAAUUGUUCGGUCCAUGUAGGAGCAGCAGACAUUUGAUUGGAUCCCUGAUACCCUAAAGCUUUGAAAAUUCAAAGCAAUUCAACUGAUAUGCCACUUUUAUCUUUUUGUUUUAUUGAUUAUUAUGCAGAUUCUAAGUGGUCGUCGAAGAGCUGGAACUCUGCUACUGUUAGUCUGCGGUUCAAAUCAUCUACAAACAAAGGUAAAUAGGAAUAUCAUGCAAGGACAGAUCAAGUAGAGAUUUGGAGAGUCAUAAUGACAUUUAUUUAGAGAAUUAUGCCGUCAUACUUCAUCACUGGCGCAACAAAGCUCCCUGGAGGGAAAUACAUAUGUGUAUCCCUCCUGUCAGUUAUUUAAACUUCACCACAUUCUGUGUAUUAUCAGUGGUGUGGAACCCUUUUGUUCAUUUGAGUGGGCGUACUUACAAGAUGCAAAUUUCCAAUCAUAGCUGCUAUUUACUACACCAUUGUUGGUACUGUUCUGUUAGCCAAAUUUCCCACCCCACCACUCCCCUUCUGCUCCUUCCCUCACCCACCAUCGCUACCACCAGCACCACUGCUACAAGCACGAGCACGGCGCUGCG